Molecule: ribosomal RNA, 466 nt
Filed under: Acanthogobius flavimanus (yellowfin goby)
Lineage: Eukaryota; Metazoa; Chordata; Actinopteri; Gobiiformes; Gobiidae
Description: partial 12S ribosomal RNA
Rfam family: Bacterial small subunit ribosomal RNA
Source: RNAcentral
CUUGCCCGGGAACUACGAGCAUAAGCUUAAAACCCAAAGGACCUGGCGGUGCUUUAGACCCCCCUAGAGGAGCCUGUUCUAUAACCGAUAAUCCCCGUUAAACCUCACCCUCCCUUGUUCUCCCCGCCUAUAUACCGCCGUCGUCAGCUCACCCUAUGAAGGAUUAAAAGUGGGCUCAAUUGGUAAAACCUAAAACGUCAGGUCGAGGUGUAGCGUACGAGAGGGGAAGAAAUGGGCUACAUUUACUGACUCAGUAAAUACGGACAAUGCUCUGAAACAAGCAUUAGAAGGAGGAUUUAGCAGUAAGGGGGGAAUAGAGUGCCCCCCUGAAAUUGGCCCUGAAGCGCGCACACACCGCCCGUCGCCCUCCCCGAAAAGCUUAAAAAUAGUAAAUAAACAAUAAUAUCAAUAAAGAGGAGGCAAGUCGUAACAUGGUAAGUGUACCGGAAGGUGCACUUGGAAAAAU